RNAcentral lists this ribosomal RNA (231 nucleotides) under uncultured bacterium. Its description in RNAcentral is "partial 16S ribosomal RNA". It matches the Rfam family "Bacterial small subunit ribosomal RNA", at positions 28 to 245 of the family's 1533-position model. The record is from RNAcentral.
GACGAACGCUGGCGGCGUGCUUAAUACAUGCAAGUGGAGCGACGAACCAAGGGCUUCGGCCUGGGGCAGAGCCGCGAACGGGUGAGUAACACGUGGGUAACCUGCCUCGAGUGACCGGGACGAAACCCGGGGAAACCCGGGCUAAUACCGGAUGUGCUGUCCCCACGAUCAGUGGAGACAGGAAAAGGAGCGUUCGGCCUCCGCAUCGAGAUGGGCCCGCGGCCCAUUACG